This 450-nucleotide ribosomal RNA is filed under the name uncultured bacterium. Its description in RNAcentral is "partial 16S ribosomal RNA". It matches the Rfam family "Bacterial small subunit ribosomal RNA", at positions 354 to 796 of the family's 1533-position model. The record is from RNAcentral.
GUGGGGAAUUUUGGACAAUGGGCGCAAGCCUGAUCCAGCAAUGCCGCGUGCAGGAAGAAGGCCUUCGGGUUGUAAACUGCUUUUGUACGGAACGAAACGGUCCUGGUUAAUACCUGGGGCUAAUGACGGUACCGUAAGAAUAAGCACCGGCUAACUACGUGCCAGCAGCCGCGGUAAUACGUAGGGUGCAAGCGUUAAUCGGAAUUACUGGGCGUAAAGCGUUCGCAGGCGGUUUUGUAAGACAGGCGUGAAAUCCCCGGGCUCAACCUGGGAAUUGCGCUUGUGACUGCAAGGCUGGAGUGCGGCAGAGGGGGAUGGAAUUCCGCGUGUAGCAGUGAAAUGCGUAGAUAUGCGGAGGAACACCGAUGGCGAAGGCAAUCCCCUGGGCCUGCACUGACGCUCAUGCACGAAAGCGUGGGGAGCAAACAGGAUUAGAAACCCCUGUAGUCC